UUGGAGGGCAAGUCUGGUGCCAGCAGCCGCGGUAAUUCCAGCUCCAAUAGCGUAUAUUAAAGUUGUUGCAGUUAAAAAGCUCGUAGUUGAAUUUCGGGAUUAGUACGUUGGUCGUGCCUUCGGUACGUACUGGUGUUACUGGUUCCUACCUUCUGACGAACCAUCAUGUCAUUAAUUUGGUGUGGCGGGGAAUCAGGACUGUUACUUUGAAAAAAUUAGAGUGUUUAAAGCAGGCUCGCGCUUGAAUACAUUAGCAUGGAAUAAUGAAAUAGGACGUUGACCCUAUUUUGUUGGUUUCUAGGAUUGACGUAAUGAUUAAUAGGGAUAGUUGGGGGCAUUAGUAUUCAAUUGUCAGAGGUGAAAUUCUUGGAUUUAUUGAAGACUAACUACUGCGAAAGCAUUUGCCAAGGAUGUUUUCAUUAAUCAAGAACGAAAGUUAGGGGAUCGAAGACGAUCAGAUACCGUCGUAGUCUUAACCAUAAACUAUGCCGACUAGGGAUCGGAUGAUGUUAUUUUUAAUGACUCAUUCGGCGCCUUACGGGAAAC
This 546-nucleotide ribosomal RNA is filed under the name uncultured Glomus. RNAcentral describes it as "SSU rRNA". It matches the Rfam family "Eukaryotic small subunit ribosomal RNA", at positions 548 to 1098 of the family's 1831-position model. Lineage: Eukaryota; Fungi; Glomeromycota; Glomeromycetes; Glomerales; Glomeraceae. The record is from RNAcentral. RNAcentral also lists the same sequence under 1 other name.